This is a long non-coding RNA of Brassica napus (rape), 547 nucleotides long. RefSeq lists it as uncharacterized. The transcript is spliced from 3 exons. The record is from RefSeq and is a predicted model, not a curated record. Lineage: Eukaryota; Viridiplantae; Streptophyta; Magnoliopsida; Brassicales; Brassicaceae.
ACACCAUAUAUCACGAGUCCUCUCCAAACCGGAGACAAACUCUAUAUCACUAUGAAUCGAAAACGUUACAAGCUUCGUACUAGUCUAAAACCGAAGCCCAUAAGCAGCCCACCAGAUGGCCCAAGAGACACAAGCCUCACAUUCUCCACCUUGACUCUUUGGCCUCACUCAUCGACUUCUCCGUCUCUCUCUCUCUCUCUCCUUUGGCGACCAGAAGCUUCGACGAGCUCACCGCUUCGUCUUCUCGGACGAUCGUCUGUUCCUCGACGCCGUCGUCACCGGAGAUGCAUGCUUCUCUCCGAUCCUUGCUUCUCUCUAUCUCGCCUUUGCUGUAAUCUCUCUCUCCUUCGAUUCCCCGUGACCAAGACAAGAUCCCGACUUCACCGCCGCUCGUCUUCACCGGCGAUUGCUCCCACCGCCUUUGAAAUCUCAGCUCGUGUCUUGAUGAAUCUGUUGUAGCUUUGUGAUUAUCAAGUGACAAGGUCACUCCAAUUCUCCUCACGCUACCUUUUUGAAACUGAACCAUAACUUGUCAAAGACCAAAAAA